AGAAUUGAUCUGGUCAGGAUGAACGCUGGCGGCGUGCUUAACACAUGCAAGUCGAACGAAGCACCUGGUCACGAUCCCUCGGGGUGACGACCUUGUGACUGAGUGGCGGACGGGUGAGUAACGCGUGGGAAACCUGCCAUGUACUGGGGGAUAACAGUUGGAAACGACUGCUAAUACCGCAUAAAACUGUCGGAUUGCAUGAUCUGAUAGCCAAAACUCCGGUGGUACAUGAUGGUCCCGCGUCUGAUUAGGCAGUUGGUGGGGUAACGGCCCACCAAACCGACGAUCAGUAGCCGACCUGAGAGGGUGACCGGCCACAUUGGGACUGAGACACGGCCCAGACUCCUACGGGAGGCAGCAGUGGGGAAUAUUGCACAAUGGAGGAAACUCUGAUGCAGCCGACGCCGCGUGAGCGAUGAAGUAUUUCGGUAUGUAAAGCUCUAUCAGCAGGGAAGAUAAUGACGGUACCUGACUAAGAAGCACCGGCUAAAUACGUGCCAGCCGCGGC
Molecule: ribosomal RNA, 508 nt
Filed under: uncultured bacterium
Lineage: Bacteria
Description: bacterial SSU rRNA
Rfam family: Bacterial small subunit ribosomal RNA
Source: RNAcentral